Molecule: ribosomal RNA, 774 nt
Filed under: uncultured Neocallimastigales
Lineage: Eukaryota; Fungi; Neocallimastigomycota; Neocallimastigomycetes; Neocallimastigales
Description: partial large subunit ribosomal RNA
Rfam family: Eukaryotic large subunit ribosomal RNA
Source: RNAcentral
UAUGUGAUCGUCUCUCGCAUAUCAAUAAGCGGAGGAAAAGAAACUAACAAGGAUUCCCCUAGUAACGGCGAGUGAAGCGGGAAGAGCUCAAAUUUGAAAUCUUAAAGGGUUUCCCUUUACGAAUUGCAGUUUAAAGAAGUGUUUUCUGUUGAGGUUUUGGUAAAAGUUCUUUGGAAUAGGACAUCAUAGAGGGUGAGAAUCCCGUAUUUGACCUUUACUUUCAACUUUGUGAUACACUUUCAAAGAGUCGGAUUGUUUGGGAAUGCAGUCCAAAAUGGGUGGUAAAUUUCAUCUAAAGCUAAAUAUUGGCGAGAGACCGAUAGCGAACAAGUACCGUGAGGGAAAGAUGAAAAGAACUUUGAAAAGAGAGUUAAACAGUACGUGAAAUUGUCAAAAGGGAAGCGUUUGACACCAGUGUUGUUUUUCUGAAAAUCAAUUAAAGAACUGUUUAUGCUAAGUUGUUUAGACUUUAUCAGCUAACUGUUUAGUUUUGAGCUUUUCUUUAAUGCACUUUUCAGUUAACAAGUCAACAUCAAUUUCUUUUGCUGUAAAAAAGCUUGAGGAAGGUGGCUUGAGAUUCGUCUUAAGUGUUUAUAGCCUCUUGCCUAUGCAGUCGGAGAGAUUGAGGUCUGCAGCGUAGAUCCUUCGGGGCUAAAUGCAUUUGUGCUAAGUUAUAGCGUUUUAUAGACAACUUGUUGACUAUGAUUUGUCUUGUAGCUUACUCGCUUAUGUUAUUUUACCUACGCUUAGGAUGUUGAACGCGCACAGAGUCUC